Annulohypoxylon maeteangense is the source of this 130-nucleotide non-coding RNA. Lineage: Eukaryota; Fungi; Ascomycota; Sordariomycetes; Xylariales; Hypoxylaceae. The record is from the annotation of a RefSeq genome assembly.
GCCCGGUUAGCUCAAUCGGUAGAGGUUAGUUGAUUUCCAUCAAACCCAUCCUUUAACACACGAUGCUAACUGUUCAUCUAGCGUGAGACUCUUAAUCUCAAGGUUGCGGGUUCGACCCCCGCAUCGGGCU